GAGAAAGUGACUUGAUCGAUGUGAAGCUGUAGCUUCUCCACAGACUGCAGAUCUGAGGAGGAGUAGCUGACCCACAGCUUCCUGCAGCCCCCAUCCCCAGCUUGUCCAGGUCCAGGCCAGGAGACACCAACCAAGCCUGCUCUGAGACAUGAGGGAUGAACACAUUGUGGGAAAAGGAAGGAGGGUGAUUUGGGCUCUGACAUUAUUUGCUAAAGUCUGCACGGUAACAUUUGACUUCUCAUCUCGGACAUCAUAAUCAAUCUCUUUCCACUCUCCUGUUGGCCCAGUUAAGUUCACGCCUGCUAUUUACUUAGUAACGCUUUCAUGGAUUCUAGAGAAACUCCCUGUUGGUAUGUUUUCAUGCAUUCUGUGAAAAUUCACGCAAGACUAGUUCCGAACACAGUAGCAGAAAUCAAAGGGCUGAAACCAUUGUGCUUUCAAAGGGACAGGUGAUCACCAGAAAGUAUUCGAGGAGUAGGCGAAAGGUUACAAACAGGGACGGCGGUUGUCCUGUGAUUAAUCUAGGCCCCGUUGUUUCCUGAAUACUUUGCCAUUUCUGUUUACAAAGCGGUGACUGGCAUUGUUUAAAUGAGACAAAUCAUUUUGCCUUCCUUUGGCAGCUUCAAAUCGACAAGAAUUUCUUACAACACCUUGUUUUACUCCCUCUUUAUUUUUUGCAGCAACAAAUACGUAUCCAAAUACUUCCAUCAUUAUGAGCCGGGAAACAAUGCCCAACUGCUGAAACAUUAUCUACAAACCGAGAUUUUGUUUCCCAAAGACUUGAGACCAUUUGAUGACACUUCUAGACAAAAUCAUAUCUUCAUUCUCGUAGGUGAAGGAAAAAUAAAACCAGGUGCACAAAAAACUUCCUGACCUCCAGUUCAUCUAUGUUCACCAAGCCAUGAACUGAAAAUAAGACUGAAAUACAUCAAGGUAAUGUAUUUAUUCGUCAGUCUAAUGAGAUGUCGAUUGUUGCUCAGGACCAGAUCAUUUUUG
RNAcentral lists this long non-coding RNA (996 nucleotides) under Fukomys damarensis (Damara mole-rat). Its description in RNAcentral is "lncRNA (ENSFDAG00000021805.1)". Lineage: Eukaryota; Metazoa; Chordata; Mammalia; Rodentia; Bathyergidae. The record is from RNAcentral.